Molecule: ribosomal RNA, 92 nt
Filed under: Bacteroidota bacterium
Lineage: Bacteria; Pseudomonadati; Bacteroidota
Source: RNAcentral
UGGGGUUCCACCUCUUCCCAUUCCGAACAGAGAAGUUAAGCCCAUCAGCGCCGAUGGUACUGCUAACGCGGGAGAGUAGGUCGCCGCCGACU